RNAcentral lists this ribosomal RNA (364 nucleotides) under Dactylogyroides dorsalis. RNAcentral describes it as "eukaryotic LSU rRNA". It matches the Rfam family "Eukaryotic large subunit ribosomal RNA", at positions 21 to 355 of the family's 3401-position model. Lineage: Eukaryota; Metazoa; Platyhelminthes; Monogenea; Dactylogyridea; Dactylogyridae. The record is from RNAcentral.
UUAUCCGCGGAAUUAAGCAUAUCAGUAAGCGGAGGAAAAGAAACUAACCAGGAUUUUCCUAGUAAAGGCGAGUGAAAGGAGAUUAGCCCAUCACCGAAGUCUAUCUGCUUUUGUGGACAGGACAAUGUGGUGUUCAGGUGUGUACCCGGGAGCGCUUGCCUACCCGAAGUCCAAUUCCGAUUCUGGCUUGGAUACUACCCACAGCGGGUGAAAGGCCCGUACGGGUAGGCCCCGUGUUGCAAUAAGCGUUCCUCAGAUGUGCAUACCGUCGAGUCGGAUUGCUUGAGAAUGCAGUCCAAAGUGGGUGGUAAACUCCAUCCAAGGGUAAAUAUAGUCACGAGUGAUGGAGAGACCACGCCCCAGG